CCUACGGGAGGCAGCAGUGGGGAAUAUUGGACAAUGGGCGCAAGCCUGAUCCAGCCAUGCCGCGUGAGUGAUGAAGGCCUUAGGGUUGUAAAGCUCUUUCAACGGUGAAGAUAAUGACGGUAACCGUAGAAGAAGCCCCGGCUAACUUCGUGCCAGCAGCCGCGGUAAU
This 169-nucleotide ribosomal RNA is filed under the name uncultured alpha proteobacterium GT10. RNAcentral describes it as "partial 16S ribosomal RNA". It matches the Rfam family "Bacterial small subunit ribosomal RNA", at positions 338 to 524 of the family's 1533-position model. The record is from RNAcentral. Lineage: Bacteria; Pseudomonadati; Pseudomonadota; Alphaproteobacteria.